Molecule: ribosomal RNA, 584 nt
Filed under: uncultured bacterium
Lineage: Bacteria
Description: bacterial SSU rRNA
Rfam family: Bacterial small subunit ribosomal RNA
Source: RNAcentral
CCUACGGGAGGCAGCAGUGGGGAAUUUUGGACAAUGGGCGCAAGCCUGAUCCAGCAAUGCCGCGUGAGUGAAGAAGGCCUUCGGGUUGUAAAGCUCUUUUGUCAGGGAAGAAAAGGGUCUGGCUAAUAUCUAGGCCUCAUGACGGUACCUGAAGAAUAAGCACCGGCUAACUACGUGCCAGCAGCCGCGGUAAUACGUAGGGUGCAAGCGUUAAUCGGAAUUACUGGGCGUAAAGCGUGCGCAGGCGGUUUUGUAAGACUGUCGUGAAAUCCCCGGGCUCAACCUGGGAAUGGCGAUGGUGACUGCAAGGCUAGAGUUUGGCAGAGGGGGGUAGAAUUCCACGUGUAGCAGUGAAAUGCGUAGAUAUGUGGAGGAACACCGAUGGCGAAGGCAGCCCCCUGGGUCAAAACUGACGCUCAUGCACGAAAGCGUGGGGAGCAAACAGGAUUAGAUACCCUGGUAGUCCACGCCCUAAACGAUGUCUACUAGUUGUCGGGUCUUAAUUGACUUGGUAACGCAGCUAACGCGUGAAGUAGACCGCCUGGGGAGUCGGUCGCAAGNUUAAAACUCAAAGGAAUUGACGG